CUCCCGAUCCCAUCUCCCUCCUCAUCUCCCGCACCCCACCCCGUCGCUCCAGAUGCCGCAUCUCUCUCUGAUCUAGAGAAAAACCUUCUUCGGCUCCCCCCUCCUCGUCCGCCCCGCGGCCGCGGCCCUUGCCAUCGGCGGUAGGAGCCAGUCCCAUCGAUAAACUUUCCACUCCUCCCUCUUAUCUCCACCACUCUAGAUCAUGUUCGUCCAUUGGCGAGAUUGGUGGCGGCGCAGAAGGAGAGCUCCUAUGCACCACCGGUUCUUUACAGCCUAUGUGAACUGCAGCAGCACCAGAUCGAUGCUGUCGUUGGUGUACGGCGCCUUUGUCUGCGUCGCCGGGGUUGGUCGUACUACAGCUGUCCAAUGGUACGUCAGUGCUGGAGGACGUACUGGGCCUGGGAGUGGUGUGCAGGUGCUGCUCGAUUUUGGUUGUUCCAUAUGCUGGCCGCCGGGAACGGCGCCGUUGGGGACGCCGUCAGGGCGGGGUUCUAGGUGCGAUGGAAGGCCGACGCCGGGUGGUGCGGCGAGUGCUAGGCCUCCGGAGGGUGCUGCGGGUAUGACACGGCGGCGUCGGAUGAUCACACAUGCUUCUGUUUCGGAGGUCUGGCUAGCGGGUCGUGUUCUACUUCUUCAUCAAGUUCAGUUACCCAAUAGUUGAUCUGAGAGGUAAUUGGUUGGUUAGUGAUGUUUGAUUGAUCUAAGCAACCUUGAGAUGGGCGAUGGGCGAACGUGAGCGGCGGCCAACGGCAGACAUGGACUCAAGCCAACAGAGGUACACGGCGGAGCAACUCACCUGCUCAUCUCCACUUCGCAGGCGGCAAGCAGGCAACAGCUGCCACCAAGGUGUGUGCUCUCUUUUUUCCUUUUCAAAUCCAUUUUGUUCACAUGGGUCUCAAAAAAAUUGGGGAUCAACAAAUUGAUCGCUCGGAGUAACGAGCAUACAUAUUCUUUCUUAUGCAUCAAGGCAGGAAACAUUGUUUUAUUGUCAGCACAUGGAAUUUUUGGUGGUCAACCCAUCAGCCAAUGCCCUCAUGAUCUGCGCUUGGUGUACUUACACUUUUUUUGGACUAAGGUCAAGCAGUUCCUGUGAAAUGACUUUGGGAAUGGAGUGGUUCACUGGGGUAAUUAGCGGUACCACCACAUGCUGACAUGGAGUGUACGAGGUAUGUAUUUUCAGCUUGUUAAUUAGGAUGAAGUGGAAUACAUCAUAAAUAUUCUUUGCAUGACCGGUCAGGGACAUAUCAACACGUCCACUUAAUCAAGUUAAUCCAUGUUCAGUUCCUUAGUUUGCCUACCAUUGUCCGGAUUUACCAUGUAUUAUUUGACCGGAAAAAAUGCAUUGUUAAUCGCUUCGACGAACAAGUGAAUAUGUAGGUUGUAUCCCUCUUUAGUUUUUUAACGGUCUAUUUCACUGACUCACUACUCCAUCAUACAUUAAGGUCAAGAAUUUUUCAUGUGUUGUCCCUUCUUAAAUAUGUUGCACUUGCUUUCUUCUGUCAGCAUUUUAGAAAUAUAAAUUUCCUCAAUUGAUUUCUUAUCCCGUUACCCCCAUGUAUGUAUUGGUUGUUGAGCAUCCUUCACUGUUACAAAGAUAGGUCAGUAGUCAGUAAGAUAAAUAAAAUUUUAAUAUAAGGUGGUAUUGUUCCAAUUUACUGGCGGUGCAUUUUCGCCCUUAAUGUUGUUGUUCUUGUAUUAUUUCUUAAGUUCUAAUUAAGACUAAUGAUCUGUUCACACAAGUCUUAAGAAAGGAGUGUGAAAUUAAUUUCUUAGCAAAGAAUCUAGAGUUAGACUUACUCGAUGGUUGAUCAGUCAAGUGAAGUAAUGAUCUGGAUGUGUUGGCAAAAUUUUUUUGCAAGUGCAUGGAGAAGCUAAGGAAUAUGUCAGCCACUUUCGUAUAUUGUGAUGUUAUUACUAUAUAUUAAAUGCGCUAGAUCUCAAUUCACAUAUCAUAAUCUGUCAAAUUGUGAUUAUGAUAUUUUGUUGCUCAAAAAAAUUAGAGUCAGGUAUGAUGACUUAAUAAUACUGAGACUUAAACUCAGCUACCAAGUAUUAAUAAAUUAAUGUUGCAUCUACUAAUAGCCUAAAUUAAUGAUUCAUGUUACAUAUUCAUACAAAGUUUACGUGUAAUUAGCAUGUGUGUUCUCAUUUGUCCAUUUUUAAAUAGUUUUAGGGAAUAACUAAAUACUAAUUUGAAAUGAAUAAGAUUAUUUUAACUAAUACCAAGUGUAGUUUGAUUCUCCUUUUAGUUUCUAAGAGAGGAAGGAAUUAGUUUUCUGUUUAAUAGCAGAAUAAUCAGACUUGUACCACUUUACUCACGAAAACAAGUUAUUUGGGUUUCUAACCGAGCUGACAUGCUGCUUCUUUAUAUAAUGCAAUCUACUUAUAAAGAAGGUGAUUUGUUAACCCCUUUCCGUCGUAGACAUAGUAUGUUGAAUUGGUAUUCCCAGUCUAUCAUGUUAAUUAGAAAACCUUAUGCCUAAAAAUGCUUUAAAGUGUCAUCAUUUGUUUUCUCCCAACCAUUUUUUAUCAUUACAUCGUUUUCCUGGCAUGCUCAAGAAAUUACCAGUGUGACUUGCCUUAUCCAGCCAUUGUCUGGACUCGCUGCUUAGUUUGGUUGCUAAUGUAGUCAGUACCGGCUUGCAUUGUAGUUCUCUUUAGUCCGAGCAAUGGCUGGAACUAAUUUUCACGGCUCAAAAGUAGUCCCAGCCACCGCUCCAUGGAAGAACUAACACUGCUGCUUUCUGUUUGGUAUAUUUUUUGGUUUGUUAGUCUUUAUAUGAGGUUUAACUAUUGUAGCUAAGAGAGAAACACGAGAAAGUAGCCAUUACAGUCACUUGUUAUAUUGGGAAAACAUCAAAAGCUUGUAAUGUUUGUAUUCACGAAACAAAAUGAUUAUUUGGUAAAUAUAUUUUCUUAUGUCGUAGCAA
Triticum dicoccoides is the source of this 2930-nucleotide long non-coding RNA. RefSeq lists it as uncharacterized. NCBI's taxonomy places the organism in Eukaryota, Viridiplantae, Streptophyta, Magnoliopsida, Poales, Poaceae. The transcript is spliced from 2 exons. The record is from RefSeq and is a predicted model, not a curated record.